RNAcentral lists this ribosomal RNA (404 nucleotides) under Actinomycetes bacterium. RNAcentral's name for it is "Actinobacteria bacterium partial 16S ribosomal RNA". It matches the Rfam family "Bacterial small subunit ribosomal RNA", at positions 355 to 776 of the family's 1533-position model. Lineage: Bacteria; Bacillati; Actinomycetota; Actinomycetes. The record is from RNAcentral.
UGGGGAAUAUUGGACAAUGGGCGCAAGCCUGAUCCAGCCAUGCCGCGUGAGUGAUGAAGGCCCUCGGGUUGUAAAGCUCUUUCACCGGGGAAGAUAAUGACGGUAACCGGAGAAGAAGCCCCGGCUAACUUCGUGCCAGCAGCCGCGGUAAUACGAAGGGGGCUAGCGUUGUUCGGAUUUACUGGGCGUAAAGCGCACGUAGGCGGACUUUUAAGUCAGGGGUGAAAUCCCGGGGCUCAACCCGGGAACUGCCUUUGAUACUGGAAGUCUUGAGUAUGGUAGAGGUGGGUGGAAUUCCGAGUGUAGAGGUGAAAUUCGUAGAUAUUCGGAGGAACACCAGUGGCGAAGGCGGCUAACUGGACCAUUACUGACGCUGAGGUGCGAAAGCGUGGGGAGCAAACAGG